Molecule: transfer RNA, 74 nt
Filed under: Trichosurus vulpecula (common brushtail)
Lineage: Eukaryota; Metazoa; Chordata; Mammalia; Diprotodontia; Phalangeridae
Also listed under: 1 other name
Description: tRNA-Leu
Rfam family: tRNA
About the family: Transfer RNA (tRNA) molecules are approximately 80 nucleotides in length. Their secondary structure includes four short double-helical elements and three loops (D, anti-codon, and T loops).
Source: RNAcentral
AUUAAGGUGGCAGAGCUGGCAAUUGCAUAAAACUUAAACCUUUAUAACCAGAGGUUCAAAUCCUCUCCUUAAUA